CAAAGGUAGCAUAAUCACUUGUCUAUUAAUUGUAGACCAGCAUGAAUGGCAAAAUGAGGGUUUAACUGUCUCUUAUAGUAAAUCAAUUAAACUGAUCUCCUAGUAAAAAAGCUAGAAUACUUUCAUAAGACCAGAAGACCCUGUGAAGCUUAAACUAAACUACUAAACCAUAUAGUAACUACUUUCGGUUGGGGCAACCUUGGAAAAAAAAAGAACUUCCAACACAAUGACUAUAAAUCAUUAUACCCGGCCCACAAGCCCAUCUCAGACCCAGCAUAGCUGAUAUUUGAACCAAGUUACUCCAGGGAUAACAGCGCCAUCUUCUUCAAGAGCCCAUAUCAAAAAGAAGGUUUACGACCUCGAUGUUGGAU
Molecule: ribosomal RNA, 371 nt
Filed under: Echinanthera melanostigma
Lineage: Eukaryota; Metazoa; Chordata; Lepidosauria; Squamata; Dipsadidae
Description: partial 16S ribosomal RNA
Rfam family: Bacterial large subunit ribosomal RNA
Source: RNAcentral